Molecule: ribosomal RNA, 467 nt
Filed under: uncultured bacterium
Lineage: Bacteria
Description: partial 16S ribosomal RNA
Rfam family: Bacterial small subunit ribosomal RNA
Source: RNAcentral
GACGAACGCUGGCGGCGUGCUUAACACAUGCAAGUCGAACGGAAAGGCUCCAGCUUGCUGGAGUACUCGAGUGGCGAACGGGUGAGUAACACGUGGGUAAUCUGCCCUGCACCCUGGGAUAAGCCUGGGAAACUGGGUCUAAUACUGGAUAUGACCUUUCUCCUUAUGGGGUUUGGUGGAAAGUUUUUCGGUGUAGGAUGAGCCCGCGGCCUAUCAGCUUGUUGGUGGGGUGAUGGCCUACCAAGGCGACGACGGGUAGCCGGCCUGAGAGGGUGAUCGGCCACAUUGGGACUGAGAUACGGCCCAGACUCCUACGGGAGGCAGCAGUGGGGAAUAUUGCACAAUGGGCGGAAGCCUGAUGCAGCGACGCCGCGUGAGGGAUGACGGCCUUCGGGUUGUAAACCUCCUUCAGCAGGGACGAAGCGUAAGUGACGGUACCUGCAGAAGAAGCACCGGCUAACUAUGUG